ACUAACCCAACGAACACAUAACACAAACAUGAUAAUAUAGUCAGGUCAAGGCCAGAGCCGAAGGCCCCAUUUCCCAGGCAAAUGGUAGACACUCAGACAAUGCACCAGUCAUCCUCAAGAACGGGAGAGCCACAUUAAUUUAUCACACAGGAGACACUUCGAAGCUCUCCCCCGUUAGGAGGAACACAAGGGAGACACAUGCAUAUAUCAGGGCCUGGGAGCCAAGGUCAAGCAAAAACACACAGAACCACACACACCUCAAACGCACACACCUCAUCGAGAGGAGGAUACAGCAUAAGACGGUAUCACACAGGGACUCUUGAUCUUCUUCUGAAGCAGACCUUCCACGGAGGCGAAGCUCUGGACGAACCAUCAGCGCUGAUUAGGGACUUAGACAUAUUCGAUUUCUCACGCUUUAUGACUCUGUAUAACCGUUGCCACUUUACUUAAUAAAUCCAAGGUCCUCGUGCCGACAGACUUUAUUACCUCUCCGUCUCAUUUUAUCUGGUCCAGUAACUAGACAGACCGUUUUUCCCCUCAAUUUGGUGACCCCGACGUGAUCUUUCGUUGAAUUGAACCGCAAAUGGGAAACGAGAGACGGAGAGCGGCACGACCUCGGGACCCCGGAGCACCGGACCGAUUCCUGCAGUCUCACCUCGCGCGCGCCCAACAAAAGGUAGGCAGAACCUGUUGAUAAAAUCCAAACUCUGCAUAGUUAUAUAGGAACCACAUUAGGAGGUGAGACUGUGAGAGCGGUUCGCUACGGGAUAUCUCGUGGGGACGAAUAGAGCUGCAUCCCAGUAUUUCCCCAUAAACCCGAUUGACCCUGAACGCGUGACACAUCGAAUAUCGGCUCGUUGCAUGGUGAAAGAAUACCCUCGAGACCAUAGGGCCUAUAAAAAUCGGUCAUAGUGAUACAAGACUACCGAUGGCCGAGUAACGGAUGCCUGGGCCAUGAGUGGAACCCAGAGGGAUGCCUGGGCCGUGAGUGGAACCCAGAGGGAAAGAGAAAAAAAAAACUAGGCUCGUUGCAUGGUGAAGGAAAUACCCUCGAGACCCUAGGGCCUAUAAGAAUCGGUCAUAGUGAUACAAGACUACCGAUGGCCGAGUAACGGAUGCCUGGGCCAUGAGUGGAACCCAGAGGGAUGCCUGGGCCGUGAGUGGAACCCAGAGGGAAAGAGAAAAAAAAAACUAGGCUUGUUGCAUGGUGAAGGAAAUACCCUCGAGACCCUAGGGCCUAUAAGAAUCGGUCAUAGUGAUACAAGACUACCGAUGGCCGAGUAAUGGAUGCCUGGGCCAUGAGUGGAACCCAGAGGGAUGCCUGGGCCGUGAGUGGAACCCAGAGGGAAAGAGAAGAAAAAAAUAAAAAAACUAGGCUCGUUGCAUGGUGAAGGAAAUACCCUCGAGACCCUAGGGCCUAUAAGAAUCGGUCAUAGUGAUACAAGACUACCGAUGGCCAAGUAAUGAAUGUGUAUUAAAUAAUUCUAUGUGGUAAGAAGGUUAGAGUCCUUUAUCAGGGUUAGAGUCCCUUUGCAGAGGAAACAUGUGUGUAUGCGCGAGUGAAAGAGAGACAGAGAGACA
Molecule: long non-coding RNA, 1581 nt
Organism: Gadus macrocephalus (Pacific cod)
Lineage: Eukaryota; Metazoa; Chordata; Actinopteri; Gadiformes; Gadidae
Exons: 2
Source: RefSeq, a predicted model, not a curated record